AAUGAACGCUGGCGGCAGGCCUAACACAUGCAAGUCGAACGAGUGGCGGACGGGUGAGUCAUGUCUGGGAACCUGCCCGAGGGAGGGGGAUAACUACUGGAAACGGUCGCUAAUACCGCAUACCAUCGGAUGUGCCCAGAUGGGAUUAGCUAGUAGGUGGGGUAACGGCUCACCUAGGCGACGAUCCCUAGCUGGUCUGAGAGGCUGACCAGCCACACUGGAACUGAGACACGGGCCAGACGCCUACGGGAGGCAGCAGUGGGGAAUCUUGCGCAAUGGGCGCAAGCCUGAUGCAGCCAUGCCGCGUGUAUGAAGAAGGCCUUCGGGUUGUAAAGUACUUUCAGCGGGGAGGCGUUACUCGCAGAAGAAGCACCGGCUAACUCCGUGCCAGCAGCCGCGGUAAUUC
RNAcentral lists this ribosomal RNA (406 nucleotides) under uncultured bacterium. RNAcentral describes it as "partial 16S ribosomal RNA". It matches the Rfam family "Bacterial small subunit ribosomal RNA", at positions 29 to 526 of the family's 1533-position model. The record is from RNAcentral.